This 497-nucleotide ribosomal RNA is filed under the name uncultured bacterium. RNAcentral describes it as "partial 16S ribosomal RNA". It matches the Rfam family "Bacterial small subunit ribosomal RNA", at positions 28 to 507 of the family's 1533-position model. The record is from RNAcentral.
GAUGAACGCUGGCGGCGUGCCUAGUACAUGCAAGUCGAGCGAACAGACGAGGAGCUUGCUCCUCUGAUGUUAGCGGCGGACGGGUGAGUAACACGUGGAUAACCUACCUAUAAGACUGGGAUAACUUCGGGAAACCGGAGCUAAUACCGGAUAACAUGUUGAACCGCAUGGUUCAACAGUGAAAGACGGUUUUGCUGUCACUUAUAGAUGGAUCCGCGCCGCAUUAGCUAGUUGGUAAGGUAACGGCUUACCAAGGCAACGAUGCGUAGCCGACCUGAGAGGGUGAUCGGCCACACUGGAACUGAGACACGGUCCAGACUCCUACGGGAGGCAGCAGUAGGGAAUCUUCCGCAAUGGGCGAAAGCCUGACGGAGCAACGCCGCGUGAGUGAAGAAGGUCUUCGGAUCGUAAAACUCUGUUAUUAGGGAAGAACAAAUGUGUAAGUAACUAUGCACGUCUUGACGGUACCUAAUCAGAAAGCCACGGCUAACUACGUG